Molecule: ribosomal RNA, 492 nt
Filed under: uncultured bacterium
Lineage: Bacteria
Description: partial 16S ribosomal RNA
Rfam family: Bacterial small subunit ribosomal RNA
Source: RNAcentral
AGUGAACGCUGGCGGUAGGCCUAACACAUGCAAGUCGAACGGCAGCACAGUAAGAGCUUGCUCUUACGGGUGGCGAGUGGCGGACGGGUGAGGAAUACAUCGGAAUCUACUUUUUCGUGGGGGAUAACGUAGGGAAACUUACGCUAAUACCGCAUACGACCUACGGGUGAAAGCAGGGGAUCUUCGGACCUUGCGCGAUUGAAUGAGCCGAUGUCGGAUUAGCUAGUUGGCGGGGUAAAGGCCCACCAAGGCGACGAUCCGUAGCUGGUCUGAGAGGAUGAUCAGCCACACUGGAACUGAGACACGGUCCAGACUCCUACGGGAGGCAGCAGUGGGGAAUAUUAGACAAAGGGCGCAAGCCUGAUCCAGCCAUACCGCGUGGGUGAAGAAGGCCUUCGGGUUGUAAAGCCCUUUUGUUGGGAAAGAAAAGCAGCAGGUUAAUACCCCGCUGUUCUGACGGUACCCAAAGAAUAAGCACCGGCUAACUUCGUG